GGGGUCAUAGCUCAGUUGGUCAGAGCGCACGGUUCACAUCCGUGAGGUCAAGAGUUCAAGUCUCUUUGUCCCCA
Molecule: transfer RNA, 74 nt
Filed under: Bacillota bacterium
Lineage: Bacteria; Bacillati; Bacillota
Also listed under: 2 other names
Description: tRNA-Val
Rfam family: tRNA
About the family: Transfer RNA (tRNA) molecules are approximately 80 nucleotides in length. Their secondary structure includes four short double-helical elements and three loops (D, anti-codon, and T loops). Further hydrogen bonds mediate the characteristic L-shaped molecular structure. tRNAs have two regions of fundamental functional importance: the anti-codon, which is responsible for specific mRNA codon recognition, and the 3' end, to which the tRNAs corresponding amino acid is attached (by aminoacyl-tRNA synthetases). tRNAs cope with the degeneracy of the genetic code in two manners: having more than one tRNA (with a specific anti-codon) for a particular amino acid; and 'wobble' base-pairing, i.e. permitting non-standard base-pairing at the 3rd anti-codon position.
Source: RNAcentral